This 797-nucleotide non-coding RNA is filed under the name Eurycotis opaca. The record is from RNAcentral. Lineage: Eukaryota; Metazoa; Arthropoda; Insecta; Blattodea; Blattidae.
UCGGAGUUUUAUUCUUGCUUGAAUUGUAUUUACUUUAUUGAUUACUUUAUAUGUAAGUUUUUGCGUAAGUUAAACUUUAUUUAUUCUUGAUGAUAAUAUUGAUUUUAAGUAUCUCGCAGUAAUGAAUUCUAUUAAUUAAUGGGAAUUAGAUUUGGUAAUUUUUAUUUAUAUUGGUAAAAUUUGUGCCAGCAUCCGCGGUUAUACAAUGAAUAUAAGUGAAUAUUUUUGAUUAAAACAGUUAAAUUUAUUGAUUGGGAUUAUUUUGUUAUUUUUAGGUGAAAUUUUUAUUUUUUAAAAUAUUCUGUCUUUUGAAGCUGUGAAAUUUUGGUGAAUUAAACUAGGAUUAGAUACCCUAUUAUUUAGAAUGUAAAUUAUUUAAUCUAGGUAGUAUUAGAUAAGGUCUUGAAACUUAAAGAAUUUGGCGGUAUUUUAGUCUAUUUAGAGGAAUCUGUCUCGUAAUCGAUAAUCCACGUUGAACCUUACCAAAUUUAUUGUAUGUAUACCGUCGUUAUAAUGAAAAUUUUUUUAGGAUUAUACUAAUUUUCUGGAUUUUGUUUUUAUGAAUAUUUCAGAUCAAGGUGCAGUUUAUAAUUUGGUGAAGAUGGAUUACAUUUAUAUUUAUUAUUGGAUAUAAUAUUGAAAUAUAUUUGUGAAAUUGGAUUUAAUUGUAAUUUUUUAUAUAUUAUAAAAAUGAAAUGAGCUCUAUAAUAUGUACACAUCGCCCGUCACUCUCAUUAUAUUUAAUUUGAGAUAAGUCGUAACAUAGUGGUUGUACCGGAAGGUGUAGCUGGAAUGAU